Molecule: long non-coding RNA, 753 nt
Organism: Arabidopsis lyrata subsp. lyrata
Lineage: Eukaryota; Viridiplantae; Streptophyta; Magnoliopsida; Brassicales; Brassicaceae
Exons: 5
Source: RefSeq, a predicted model, not a curated record
AAACCAUGGUCCACUGACAUGAGCUUACACAUGGCUUUAUCUUUCCUGUUUUGUGUUUAAUCUCAGCAAAAGUUGCGGUGGAAAUGGCAAAACAGAAGCUUGUUGACGCUACUGUUUUAUUACAUCCUUCUAGUGUGAACAAAAGAUUAAAAAAGAGUGAGAGUCAUCAAUCUUGCUGUAAAAGAUGGUGAAUUAAUCUUUUGACGCUAGAGAAAUGGAGUAUGUGUGGUUAGUAUCUUCUGUUUGUUUGAUACAUGGUGAGAUCACAUUUGUUUUGAAAUUGUUUCCUAAUGGUUGGAGUUUGUGGAAACAACGUCAUGAAUAACCAAGUAACAAGUGAUCUCAUUGAGGGUAUUGGAUAGAAAGCUUCGAUUCAUCUUUUGGUGAGAUUCAGCUGUGGUAGGUAUUGGUAAGACACUUUGCUGCUCCAAAUACCUUUUCUAGCUUAUCUUUCCUUCUUUCCUCACGCUUUUAUAUGUAGUCAUUAUCUAGUAGAAGCAUUUGAAAAACUCACUUGCUUUACUUAUACAAAGACAGCCAACGACAAAGAAAAGAACCAAACUGCAGAGAAUAUGGAGAAGGCAGUGAAGUGUGGACAUCAACCUAAGUUCUUGGAGGGAGAGAAAGAGCAAACCAAUGUAAUUCUUCGUUUAGUCCAUCUGAAUUGCAGUACUUAUGAUGUUGUUUAAGACCUUUUUUUAACAAAUGGUGUUCAAUGCUACACUAUGUAACUUUUGAUGAUCUAUGGAAAGA